UCUCUGCCUGACUAAUUCAAGUAGGAUGGAAAAUUCCAAACACGAGGUGAGCCCUGGCAUGCUCUCUCCUCGUAGUUCUACUUGUCAGUGUUCGCAGUCAACUACAUCUCCCGAAGCAGCCAACAAGUCCAAGUUGCAGAAUCCUUUAUUCACAGUAGUCAACUGAUCACAUAACCUAUUGAAGCAAAAUGUGCUCCGCACACUGUCCCAGGCGGUUUUCUAAAGGGACGCGUCAAUGAAAGCAUGCAAACCGCAACUCUUAAAUAUUCAGACAGAUCAUGGCUAGUGAAGCUUCUGUACUACCCACAGCAUGGCGCGGGAAAGCUCUCUGCCGGUUUUGGCGCGUUUCAGAGAGGAACAUCUCUAAA
This is a long non-coding RNA of Rhodamnia argentea, 368 nucleotides long. RefSeq lists it as uncharacterized. The transcript is spliced from 4 exons. NCBI's taxonomy places the organism in Eukaryota, Viridiplantae, Streptophyta, Magnoliopsida, Myrtales, Myrtaceae. The record is from RefSeq and is a predicted model, not a curated record.